CUCCUACUGGAGGCAGCAGUGAGGAAUAUUGGUCAAUGGACGAGAGUCUGAACCAGCCAAGUAGCGUGCAGGAUGACGGCCCUAUGGGUUGUAAACUGCUUUUAUAAGGGAAUAAAGUGAGUCUCGUGAGACUUUUUGCAUGUACCUUAUGAAUAAGCAUCGGCUAACUCCGUGCCAGCAGCCGCGGUAAUACGGAGGAUGCGAGCGUUAUCCGGAUUUAUUGGGUUUAAAGGGAGCGCAGACGGGUCGUUAAGUCAGCUGUGAAAGUUUGGGGCUCAACCUUAAAAUUGCAGUUGAUACUGGCGUCCUUGAGUGCGGUUGAGGUGUGCGGAAUUCGUGGUGUAGCGGUGAAAUGCUUAGAUAUCACGAAGAACUCCGAUUGCGAAGGCAGCACACUAAUCCGUAACUGACGUUCAUGCUCGAAAGUGUGGGUAUCAAACAGGAUUAGAUACCCUGGUAGUCCACACGGUAAACGAUGGAUACUCGCUGUUGGCGAUAUACUGUCAGCGGCUUAGCGAAAGCGUUAAGUAUCCCACCUGGGGAGUACGCCGGCAACGGUGAAACUCAAAGGAAUUGACGGGGGCCCGCACAAGCGGAGGAACAUGUGGUUUAAUUCGAUGAUACGCGAGGAACCUUACCCGGGCUUAAAUUGCAAAGGAAUAAUCUGGAAACAGAUUAGUCUUCGGACCUUUGUGAAGGUGCUGCAUGGUUGUCGUCAGCUCGUGCCGUGAGGUGUCGGCUUAAGUGCCAUACCGAGCGCAACCCUCGCCGCCAGUUACUAGCAGGUAAUGCUGAGGACUCUGGCGGGACUGCCAUCGUAAGAUGUGAGGAAGGUGGGGAUGACGUCAAAUCAGCACGGCCCUUACGUCCGGGGCUACACACGUGUUACAAUGGGCGGUACAGAAGGCAGCUACCUGGCGACAGGAUGCCAAUCCCUAAAGCCGCUCUCAGUUCGGACUGGAGUCUGCAACCCGACUCCACGAAGCUGGAUUCGCUAGUAAUCGCGCAUCAGCCACGGCGCGGUGAAUACGUUCCCGGGCCUUGUACACACCGC
RNAcentral lists this ribosomal RNA (1054 nucleotides) under uncultured bacterium. RNAcentral describes it as "bacterial SSU rRNA". It matches the Rfam family "Bacterial small subunit ribosomal RNA", at positions 336 to 1393 of the family's 1533-position model. The record is from RNAcentral.